AUGUCUCCUUCGCUUCGGGCCGCUGAUCCGCGGGAGCCGGCUGGCGGAGCUCGGCUGCCCCCCUUCACAUCCAUGGUGCAGGACUUCGCCGACCGCUUCCAGGCCCUGGCAUGCCACGCGUCGGGCGUUACGGCGCAACAGCGGGCCGAGCUCUUCGUCGGCGGUCUUUCGGACCACAUCCACGUUGACGUGGAGCUUCGGGGACCCCAGGACCUCCAGACGGCCAUGUACUAUGCCCGCGCCUUCGAGUGUCGCGCGCAGGCCUUGCAGCAGGCGGCCCCAGCUCCCGGAGGCCGACAACACGUCCGGCAGCCCCCGGCACCGGCACCGGCACCGGCAUCGGGCCGGCCGCCCCCGGCCACUCCUGGGACUACCACCCCGGCCACGAUGCGGCCCUUCCGUCGGCUCUCUCCGGCCGAGCAACUUGAGCGUCGGCGCUAG
This 441-nucleotide ribosomal RNA is filed under the name Triticum aestivum (bread wheat). RNAcentral describes it as "partial small subunit ribosomal RNA". Lineage: Eukaryota; Viridiplantae; Streptophyta; Magnoliopsida; Poales; Poaceae. The record is from RNAcentral.